AGUUCAUGAUCCGAUCGGAUGGUUGAUCAACGAUUAAGAAUCAUUCUAGGGUUAAAUGAUCAAUACGAUUGACAUUUAACCUAGUGCAAGUGUUGCAGGAGAAUCGAUUGGCAAUUCGAUUGCUAAUUUACUUAAUUUGAUUAAGUCAAUGGGUUGAGAUUAAGUUUAAUUGAAUAUAAUUUAAUUAGAUUUAGUUUGGACUUG
This 204-nucleotide long non-coding RNA is filed under the name Elaeis guineensis (African oil palm). Its description in RNAcentral is "long non-coding RNA (EGUI_LNC070724)". Lineage: Eukaryota; Viridiplantae; Streptophyta; Magnoliopsida; Arecales; Arecaceae. The record is from RNAcentral.